Oxyura jamaicensis (ruddy duck) is the source of this 1606-nucleotide long non-coding RNA. RefSeq lists it as uncharacterized. The transcript is spliced from 2 exons. The record is from RefSeq and is a predicted model, not a curated record. NCBI's taxonomy places the organism in Eukaryota, Metazoa, Chordata, Aves, Anseriformes, Anatidae.
GAGCACGUUGCUUCCCAGGUGCCGGUGGUGAGGAAUGCCUUUUGGGCCAAUUCCUUUGGAGGGGGGCAGAAGGGGGGUCCCGUGGCCGCAGGUGGGGUCAGAACACUGGGGGAAAACAGCUCCAGGCUCCCCGCGAGAAGCACGAGGCCUGCUGCCGUCCCGCGGGUCGCCCGCCCAAUGUGCCGGCCAGCUGAUGGAAGCGGCCCGGCCGCGCCGCGUUUGAACCGGGAGGGAGGCAGGGCCGGGAUUAAGCUUCAAAGGCUUCGGACCAGUUGCCAAGAAUUUCAAAGUGGCAACGCAAGGCUGAAGCGAUCCAGAUUCGGGUUUUGUUUUAAGGCUUGACGCCGUGUGUUCAGAGCUGUCGGGGCUUCACUGCGGCGCUGGGGAGGCUGGAGGAGGCCUGGCAGCCUCCGGCUGCUCGGUCGGCUCUUCGGGAAGGGGACAGGGCCGGGGACAUCAGCGGGCAGGAGGGGGCUCACAGGGCGUGCUGUGGGGUGGCACCAGGAUCCCACAGCCUCUGUGUCCCCUGGUAAAACGAGGAGCAAAGGACAUGGCCUAUGUGCACGGGGCCCAGAGCAAAGUCUGCUGAGGCCGAGGGUUUCUGCUGGCUCCUGGACUUCGGACCCUGCCCGCCAGCACACAGCCCGGCACGGCGGGGAGGCAGCGUGCCCCACGUGUAACGGGGGACAGCCCGCGGUGUUCUCCCAUCCGCCGCACCUGGUGUUGUGUUUGUUGUUGUUUAUCAUUAUUGCUUUAUUUUUUUUUGUACUGAAACAAUUAUGUUAAUAUGUUUUUAUUGGUCAGGCCAGAUACAAGCACAUGUAGAAUCAUUGCUUGCAUUUCUGAAGGAGAACUGCUCACAGGCCCUCCGCAGCGUUUGAAAAGACCUCUCGGAUCUGACCAAGACAUCUGGUUGUGGCAGGACGGUUUUUGUGUAGUGUCACCUGUACCAAGCCAAGGAAGAAGCAGAGCCAUCAUGCUCCUUCCACAAAACGUGCAAUGGAAGGGUUUAGUUCCCCUGGGACUUUUUGCCUGAAAAUCAAUUCCUUUGGCUUGCCUGUCCUGGAGCCAUUUGCUACAAACAGCUUUCAUCGUUGAAGGUUUUGCUGGGACACUCCAUCUCAUGAAGAAAUCAAUUGCUUUUUUGUCUGAAAUCAGAAGACAACUAGUUAGCCGUACUUCCUUAUUUUUGUUUAAGUGGCCAUCACAUCCUAAUUAUAGUUUCUCUUUUUUUUAACUACUGUACUCAAUUUACAGCCUAAUUGCCCUUACCUUGUUUGUUUAAUGAAGCUUAUAUAAUGAUUCCUGUGAUCUUCAUGAAACAUUACACUGGGGUUUUAUUUUUUACUUUACAAACUGUAUUUUUGUAUUAAUGUUUUAUAACCUCAAGUUUCUAAUCAUGAAGUCAUAAGGAGUUUAAUUGAUUUGAAACUAGCCAUGCCCUGAAGUGUGUACAUGUCAGAUUGAUUCAAAUUGAUCCAAUGUGUUUAAAUAAAGCUUGUGCCAAAAGCACGUGGCACCUUAUGCUACCAGAUAUUUGCCCAAAGCCCUCCGGUAACUUAAUUAUGCUGCCAUCUCGGUAUAAUAAAUUAUUGACUAGAACACA